GUGAAUCAAAACAGUGCAGGCCGCAUGAGCCAGUGGGCGGUGGCGUCGUCCUUCUUCACUCGGGCUUAACAGCAGCCGACGUCCUCAGUGUCGCAUCACUGCCACCUGCUGGAGGAAGGUAAAGCACCGGUGUAACUGAUAACAUUCUAGAUGGAUCCAUUACUUUCUUGUGGUAGGACGCCAUCAUGCACAAAACAAGGGCCUUUAUACUGGAACAGGCACUUCCAUGUCGAGCCCGCAAGAUGGCACCAAAGUCUGGAGUUAUCUCUUGACUUAAUGGACUCAAUUGGCACAAACCAGUUGUAUCACUUGAUGGCAGUAGGGAGCCAGAGUGUCUCACUCUCACAGUAAAACCCAUCAACAGUAAUUGCUGGGCGUGGCUGUGUAUGACAGAAUGGUGAGUAAUUGUCCCUGCAUAGCCCACACACACACACACACACACAUACAUGCGCACACACACACAGAUAGAGCUAGCAGUUCCUACAUGGCACAAAUGACCGCUGUGCUUACACAAGACUUCCUUCCCUGUCCUGAGUGACAUGAAGUGACACUUCAGAUUCUGUGGAACUAAUGAACAGUUCUUACUGGUGAAUUUUUUUGGAGCAAAGGGCGAAAUCUUUGAGAUCUUACUUCAUUACUCUCUGGAAGUAAUUUAAAACACUGUGGCCCCCCACAGCUGUGCAUUUCUCUGAGAGGAGAGCUUGCAAGCAACAGCUCAACAGAACAUCUCUGAUACAAUACACAGAUAAAUCUAUUUAAUGUCUAUCUAGAAUUUUUUUUGUCUCAGUAAAUCAGUG
Acanthopagrus latus (yellowfin seabream) is the source of this 797-nucleotide long non-coding RNA. RefSeq lists it as uncharacterized. The transcript has 3 exons. The record is from RefSeq and is a predicted model, not a curated record. NCBI's taxonomy places the organism in Eukaryota, Metazoa, Chordata, Actinopteri, Spariformes, Sparidae.